RNAcentral lists this transfer RNA (76 nucleotides) under bacterium. RNAcentral describes it as "tRNA-Asn". It matches the Rfam family "tRNA". Rfam says of the family: Transfer RNA (tRNA) molecules are approximately 80 nucleotides in length. Their secondary structure includes four short double-helical elements and three loops (D, anti-codon, and T loops). The record is from RNAcentral.
UCCUCGGUAGCUCAACCGGCAGAGCAAGCGGCUGUUAACCGCAAGGUUGGAGGUUCGAGUCCUCCCCGAGGAGCCA